GAAUAUUCAUCAUGUAUGCUUUUCUAAUUAUAAUGGGGGGUGGGGGAUGAAGAGGAAACUUUUCGAGCCACACACCGGAAUUUACUUUGAGGAAAUUAAAGUGUUCAUAGCAAAUAAGUGUUUGAAUACUACAGCAUGGAAUAACAAAUAGGACUUUGGUAUUGUUUUGUUGGAGUAGAGAAACCAAAGUAAAGAUGAAUAGGGACAGUUGGGGGCAUUGGAAUUUGAUAGUCAGAGGUGAAAUUCAUGGAUUUAUCAAAGACCAACAAAGGCGAAAGCAUUUGCCAAGGAUGUUUUCAUUGAUCAAGAACGAAAGUCAGGGGAUCGAAGACGAUUAGAUACCGUCGUAGUCUUGACCGUAAACGAUGCCGACUUGGGGGAGGUGCGAGAUGAGAAGCGCAUCACAACCAAAGGAGAAAUCAAAGUGUAUGGGUUCUGGGGGGAGUAUAGUCGCAAGGCCGAAACUUGAAGGAAUUGACGGAAGGGCACCACCAGGAGUGGAGCCUGCGGCUUAAUUUGACUCAACACGGGAAAACUUACCAGGUCCGGACAUGAUGAGGAUUGACAGAUUGAGAGCACUUUUAAGAUUUCAUGGGAGGUGGUGCAUGGCCGUUCUUAGUUGGUGGAGUGAUUUGUCAGGUUAAUUCCGAUAACGAGCGAGACCCUGUGAUGACGGUAAUGAUUGAGUAUGUAAAUACGCGAGACGUUUCUUCAUCGACACCCCA
RNAcentral lists this ribosomal RNA (725 nucleotides) under uncultured eukaryote. Its description in RNAcentral is "bacterial SSU rRNA". It matches the Rfam family "Eukaryotic small subunit ribosomal RNA", at positions 671 to 1426 of the family's 1831-position model. The record is from RNAcentral.